CCGUGUAUGACUGGCACAAAACACACUGCAGUUUUCUGAGCUUUAGUCCGCGCGGACGGUUCAGCGUGCUCUCGGAAAGAUGAGUAAAGAAAUCAAGAAAGCAGGGCAACCACAGACUGCAAGGAAGCUGUCGCUGCAUCCCUUAGCAGUGCCCCUGCGUCCCACUGCAAGCAAAUACCUGCAGGAGAAAUGGGACAAGGCUGCGUACGACAUGCACAGAAAAAGAGUGAUGACAGCAAAACCAGUGGUAAACACGGGUCCACCAAAGACAUAUAGUUACCUCACUCCCAAGCAGAAGAAUCGCAAGGUUGUCCUUUGAACUGAAUCGCCGAGGACGCUGGAGAUUCAGAGAGAAAACGAUAGGCUUAGAGAGAAAAUAUCAUAUAUUAUGAGCACACCUGGAAAAAUCGACAACUGGAAUUUCUAUGAAAAGAAAAGCCUUGGGGAAAAAAAGCAGCAGAUGGAAAUGCUCAGAAUUGCCCAAGAGAAUCAAAAGAUCCAGGUUAAACUGAGCCAGUGCAAACCUUUCUAUAGUGUGAGGGCUUGGCACGAGGAUUGGCUCAAAACUACCGAAGUGAUGGAAAGAAUUAGUCAUUAUCCUCGUGACAGAGCAAAUCAGCAAAAGGGACAAGAAAAAAGCAGCAAGGUAAGCAGGAAAUGUGGUGCAAAACAAAAGAAGAAAAACGAGCAACAAGGAAGAGGAUGCAGGAACACAGAUAACUUUAAACCAAAUGCACUACCAAAUGAGAAAAGGAAUGAAAGAAAGAAAUCACAAGAUACACCCAAGAAUCCAGGUCCUAAAUAAAUAAAAGCAGUCAUUCCGUUGAAAA
Oreochromis aureus is the source of this 830-nucleotide RNA transcript. It is a transcript of the gene named CFAP97 domain containing 2, with no coding region annotated. Lineage: Eukaryota; Metazoa; Chordata; Actinopteri; Cichliformes; Cichlidae. The record is from RefSeq and is a predicted model, not a curated record. The transcript has 6 exons.